AGAGUUUGAUCCUGGCUCAGGACGAACGCUGGAGGUGUGCUUAACACAUGCAAGUCGAACGAGGAUGUAUUGAAGCUUGCUUCGAUACAAGCCGAGUGGCGGACGGGUGAGGAACACGUAAGUAACCUGCCCUUUAGUGGGGGAUAACGCUUCGAAAGGAGCGCUGACACCGCAUAUUCUCUUUAUAUCGCAUGAUAUUUAGAGGAAAAAUUUAUUGCUAAAGGAAGGGCUUGCGUACGAUUAGUUUGCUGGUGGGGUAAUGGCCUACCAAGACUGCGAUCGUUAACUGGUCUGAGAGGAUGAACAGCCACACUGGGACUGAGAUACGGCCCAGACUCCUACGGGAGGCAGCAGUGGGGAAUUUUGCGCAAUGGGGGAAACCCUGACGCAGCGACACCUCGUGAGUGAUGAAGUCUUUCGGGAUGUAAAGCUCUGUCGGCAGGGACGAUUAUGACGGUACCUGCAAAGGAAGCUCCGGCUAAUUACGUGCCAGCAGCCGCGGUAAUACGUAAGGAGCAAGCGUUGUCCGGGUUUAUUGGGCGUAAAGCGUGCGUAGGCGGUUUUGUAAGUUAGGUGUUAAAGACAUGGGCUCAACUCGUGGAUGCGCCUAAGACUGCAGGACUAGAGGAUAGGAGAGGAAAGCGGAACUCACAGUGUAGCGGUGAAAUGCGUAGAUAUUGUGAGGAACACCGGUGGCGAAGGCGGCUUUCUGGACUAUUUCUGACGCUGAGGUACGAAAGCAUGGGGAUCAAACAGGAUUAGAUACCCUGGUAGUCCAUGCCGUAAACGUUGUUCACUAGGUGUAGGAGGUAUCGACCCCUUCUGUGCCGGAGCUAACGCGUUAAGUGAACCGCCUGGGAAGUACGGCCGCAAGGCUAAAACUCAAAGGAAUUGACGGGGGCCCGCACAAGCAGUGGAACAUGUGGUUUAAUUCGACAUACGCGAAAAACCUUACCUGGGUUUGAAAUCCUUGGAAUCCCUCAGAGACGAGGGAGUGCCUUCGGGAGCCAAGUGACAGGUGCUGCAUGGUUGUCGUCAGCUCGUGUCGUGAGAUGUUGGGUUAAGUCCCGCAACGAGCGCAACCCUUGUCGUGUGUUACCAGCGGAUUAUGCCGGGGACUCACACGAGACUGCCUAUGGAAAGUAGGAGGAAGGUGGGGAUGACGUCAAAUCAUCAUGGCCCUUAUGUCCAGGGCUACACACAUGUUACAAUGGUAUGUACAAAGGGUAGCGAAGCCGCAAGGUGAAGCCAAUCUCAAAAAACAUACCUCAGUUCGGAUUGCAGGCUGCAACUCGCCUGCAUGAAGCCGGAAUUGCUAGUAAACGCAGAUCAGCGCGCUGCGUUGAAUACGUUCCCGGGCCUUGUACACACCGCCCGUCACACCAUGAAAGCUGGGAGUACCCGAAGCCGGCAGGCUAACCGUAAGGAAGCAACCGUCGAAGGUAAUACUGGUGAUUGGGGUGAAGUCGUAACAAGGUA
This 1479-nucleotide ribosomal RNA is filed under the name metagenome. Its description in RNAcentral is "bacterial SSU rRNA". It matches the Rfam family "Bacterial small subunit ribosomal RNA". The record is from RNAcentral.